RNAcentral lists this ribosomal RNA (301 nucleotides) under uncultured bacterium. Its description in RNAcentral is "partial 16S ribosomal RNA". It matches the Rfam family "Bacterial small subunit ribosomal RNA", at positions 509 to 807 of the family's 1533-position model. The record is from RNAcentral.
CAGCCGCCGCGGGAAUACGAAGGGGGCUAGCGUUGUUCGGAAUUACUGGGCGUAAAGCGCACGUAGGCGGAUAUUUAAGUCAGGAGUGAAAUCCCAGAGCUCAACUCUGGAACUGCCUUUGAUACUGGGUAUCUUGAGUAUGGAAGAGGUGAGUGGAAUUCCGAGUGUAGAGGUGAAAUUCGUAGAUAUUCGGAGGAACACCAGUGGCGAAGGCGGCUCACUGGUCCAUUACUGACGCUGAGGUGCGAAAGCGUGGGGAGCAAACAGGAUUAGAUACCCCAGUAGUCCCUGUCUCUUAUAC